AAUAAUUACAGUUCACCGAAAUUCUGAGGGUCUAAGCAUGUGUUUGGAGUUCACGGAGUUCCCACUGGGGCUCAGCAGGAUAAAAACGUAACUAGUAUGCAUGAAGAUGCGGGUUCGAUCCUUGGCCUCACUCGGUGGGUUAAGGGCAUGGCGUUGCUGCAAGCUGCGGCUUAGGUGGUAGAUGCGGCUGGGAUCUGGUGUGGCUGUGGCAGGGGCGUAGGCCUGCAGCUGCGGCUCCAAUUGAAUCCUUAGCCUGGAUUCCUUUCAUAUGCUGCACCUGUAGCCAUAAAAAGGAAAAAAACAAUAAUAAUUACAGUUCACAAAACUGCUGGCUUUGAUCCUCUUGUCCCUUCCAACUCAGUAGCCUGGAAACCUCCCAGACCUCUAUCUUAAGAUCUGUGCUUUUCUGUGGCACUUUCUCCCCUCCUCAUUGUUCUGGGUUCAUUAGAUAAAAUUGUCCCAAACUCCUGAUGAGAGAUGAUCUAUUGUGAGAUACCUUUGUGAGGCAGAACACAGGAAACCUCAGGGUCUUAUCUCCUGUGAGCCGUCUGUUUUUCCCCAACAGCCCAAUAAAGGAGACUCCUCAGCUGGCAGGGAGUGGUUGCGAAGGCAGUCACGGUCCCCAGGCCCCUGACCCCACCCUCCACGGCCCUCUCUGUCGCAGGCAGCUGCGUUUCUUGUGGGCUGAGCCAGGGCUGGGAGGGUGAACAUUUCCUUCUCAGAUGGGCAAAGAGGACUUGUCCUUAUGGCUCUCUCAAUCUCUGCAAGGUCUCUGUUCACGUGUAUGUCCUGCUGAGUCGUAGUUCGGAGGAAGAGAAAAAUAGUCCAUUACAGAUGUCGUAAAAUGUCUCUCUCCUCAUCAUGGAUCAAAGCUGUUUUCAUCAUUUCCUUGGCAGGACCUCUUCAUUCUGGUGAGUAGAUUUUCAUCUGCAGUGAAACAUGUUACAUAUCUUAGAAAGUGCAGGAAAAAGUUCUGUAAUCCAGGAAUGGAGGAGCUUGUGUUUUAUUGGGUUU
This 1014-nucleotide long non-coding RNA is filed under the name Sus scrofa (pig). RNAcentral describes it as "lncRNA (ENSSSCG00025053133.1)". The record is from RNAcentral. Lineage: Eukaryota; Metazoa; Chordata; Mammalia; Artiodactyla; Suidae.